CGGGGGGAGCAAGCGUUGUUCGGAUUUACUGGGCGUAAAGGGCGCGUAGGCGGCGCAACAAGUCACUUGUGAAAUCUCCGGGCUUAACCCGGAGCGGCCAAGUGAUACUGUCGUGCUAGAGUGCGGAAGGGGCUACUGGUAUUCUCGGUGUAGCGGUGAAAUGCGUAGAUAUCGAGAGGAACACCUGCGGCGAAGGCGGGUAGCUGGGCCGACACUGACGCUGAGGCGCGAAAGCCAGGGGAGCGAACGGGAUUAGAUACCCCGGUAGUCCUGGCCUUAAACGAUGGAUACUUGGUGUCCGGGGUUACAUAGUCCCCGGGUGCCGGCGCUAACGCAUUAAGUAUCCCGCCUGGGGAGUACGGUCGCAAGACUG
Molecule: ribosomal RNA, 373 nt
Filed under: uncultured organism
Description: bacterial SSU rRNA
Rfam family: Bacterial small subunit ribosomal RNA
Source: RNAcentral